Molecule: long non-coding RNA, 2369 nt
Organism: Alligator sinensis (Chinese alligator)
Lineage: Eukaryota; Metazoa; Chordata; Crocodylia; Alligatoridae
Exons: 5
Source: RefSeq, a predicted model, not a curated record
CAGUUUCUGGAUCGACAAUCGACAGCUGAGAGACUAUUUUUUGCAAUGGUUGACUAAAUAUGGUCAGGGAAGAGAGAGAGACAAGAGAGCCUGUUUGCCUGGGAGUGCGUGUUUCAAAUGCUUAGCUGCCUAUAAAGCUGUAACAGUUUUGCUUGUGCCCCGAGUGGGAAAUACAGUUAGUCUCUUCUAUAUUGUGCAUGUGGGAGCCCUGACCUCGCACUAAGAGACUUGACCUCUGAAGAUGGAAAGUAGCUUCAACACAGAUCUGCCUACAGUUAUGCCUGGAAAUUUAACUUCAAGCAAGAAAAGAUGCAGUGCAAUGUCUAAGGAGCUAGAAGAAACCAAAUAUUUGCUGGGGGAGGGGGGCUGCUGCUUGUUUUGUAAGUCACUCCAACUUUUUUUUCCUCUGACUAUUUUAAUCUAACAAUGGGCUAAGUUCACCUUCCCUGGUUUCCUAGCAUCCAUCUUUGGACACUUAAUUCUCAGUCCACCAGGCGCAAGGUACAAUUUCUAUGCAACAUCAUCCACAUUUUAUACAUUCCAAGAAAAGCAGCAGGUGCCAAUCGGGCAUCACUGUUCACACUAUUUUGCUUUUAAGUUUUUAUCUAUUUGAAGUGAUAAGGUGGUGAAUUCACCGACACGUCCCUCCUUGCUCCCCCCUCCCAUGUAACGAAGAGCUGAAUCAGCGAAUAGAGUGAACGAACACUCAGGAUGAGAUGGCUGCUGCUGAUGUGUCUCUAGGUCAUUACCUCUCUUCCAACUGCAAAUGCUGCAUGAUACUAAGCUUACAGGAUACUAGAUACAAACCAUAUACCAGCAUGGAAACCUGAGAGAAGAUCUCACAGAAAGUUGAAGUUCUUAUGGUGGAAUACAACUAUCCACUCCAGGAAAAUACUUUGCAAAGCUACCCAUCAAUGAUCCAACUCUUCAUUCAAACCUGGCCAGUCAGAAUGAACAGCAAGAGGCAACCAAAACUUGGGAUAAGUGCUUCAAGUGUUCAUGUCAUCACAGAACAAUGAACUGUAAUAGACUUUAAGCCACUAUGCAGGUAAGCAAAGAUAUCCUCUUUAGAAGUCCCGAAGAGUAUUUCUGCAGCAGAGCCUGUUCUACCUUAUAUGAAAAGCAAAAGUAUUUCAAUUUGAUGACCAGCUAUUAUACAUAUAGCCAGUAACAAGUUCACAUUGCUGCCUGGCAUUACUCCUUAUUGAACAAUUCUCAUAAAACAAAGAAAAACUCUACUGCUGAACUUCUCAUAGCCAGCAGAUGGGGUAAUAGAAAAAAUAUAUUGGAUCCAGGAACAACAGUUCCUUGGAAGCUGAAAUAGUCUCUUUAUUUAUGAACUACAUAAAAGGAGAAGUCAAAGUGGAGCAAAGAAAGAAGCCAAGGGAAUUAAACAUUGAGAUGGCAUGAAUAUUACACUGACUGCUAUAAUUACCUUUCUGCAAAGCCAGAAGGAAACCAAUGACCUGUACAGGAGUACACCAAUUAAAAAGAAUGUUUCAGAGGUAUAAAAACCCUCUUUUAACAGAGAUGAAAUGUGUAAUUACCCAAACAAAAUGACUGGAAUAAUAUUCUCUGAGGCAGUGAGAGGUUUAAGCAGAAACAAACUUUAAUAUGGGGCAUUUUUAUAUCAAUCAUUUUUUCUUGCUAGUCAUUUUAUGUUGUACUAUAAGUAACUGAAGACCUCUUGCCUGUACUUGGCCCAACUUCUACUUUAAGUUUUGGCCUACAGCAAAAUUACCCUAAUAACAUCAGACUGAUGUCAUGUGGUGCCUAAAUACUUCACUAGUGUGAAUAUUAGAAAUGCAGAGAUAGGGGAUUUAUUAAAGAAACAAUUAAGACUGGCAUCUGAGUAGUUGCCAAUUAGCCGAAAUUACAAAGAAACAGGAAAAAAUUACUCAAAAGACUCUAGUAAUCAGUUACUAAGCAUAUCCCUUCAAGCACACACCUGUUAUACACAAAUUUAAGUAUGAAAUCACAAAUAUGCAUGGGUUUCACCCAUGGAAACUGCCUGUUCAUUUAUCCCCUGCUUCCAAAUGACAUGCUUUCCAUAGGCUUUAAUUCUAAGAUCUCUCUUUAAAGAGGAACAAAGAUCAGUUCUUUUUAGAAUAAGGCAUAAGCAGGCAGGUAUAUCCCCCUGUUUUUUAUGGGAGUAUAGGUAGCGAAGUAGUCUGGGCCAUACCAUGACACUGGAGAACAUUCUAAGGAAGAAGUGAAAUACUGAAUAUGCGAUGCCAUUAUAUUUACCGUUUAUAUAAUGCAUAAAAUGCAAAUCUCUUCAGCUAUUACCUUACACAUACUAAAAUUAUAUAACCAAAUCAGAGCUUAGAAAAGAUAACAGCAAUAAAUGUCAAGGGAAACGCAUACAC